Molecule: ribosomal RNA, 477 nt
Filed under: uncultured Bacteroidota bacterium
Lineage: Bacteria; Pseudomonadati; Bacteroidota
Description: bacterial SSU rRNA
Rfam family: Bacterial small subunit ribosomal RNA
Source: RNAcentral
ACGCUAGCGGCAGGCCUAACACAUGCAAGUCGAGGGGUAACAGGGAUUGCUUGCAAUCCGCUGACGACCGGCGCACGGGUGCGUAACGCGUAUACAAUCUGCCUUACACUGGGGGAUAGCCUUUAGAAAUGAAGAUUAAUACCCCAUAGAAUGUUAGUAUCGCAUGGUACAUACAUUAAAGGUUACGGUGUAAGAUGAGUAUGCGUCCUAUUAGUUUGUUGGUGAGGUAACGGCUCACCAAGACGACGAUAGGUAGGGGCCCUGAGAGGGGGAUCCCCCACACUGGUACUGAGACACGGACCAGACUCCUACGGGAGGCAGCAGUGAGGAAUAUUGGUCAAUGGGCGAGAGCCUGAACCAGCCAUGCCGCGUGCAGGAAGACGGCCCUAUGGGUUGUAAACUGCUUUUAUACAGGAAGAAACACUCCCUCGUGAGGGAGCUUGACGGUACUGUAAGAAUAAGGACCGGCUAACUCCG